Molecule: transfer RNA, 59 nt
Filed under: Oxyrrhis marina
Lineage: Eukaryota; Dinophyceae; Oxyrrhinales; Oxyrrhinaceae
Rfam family: tRNA
About the family: Transfer RNA (tRNA) molecules are approximately 80 nucleotides in length.
Source: RNAcentral
GUUUAGUGGUAAAACCUCAGCCUUCCAAGCUGAUGUUGGGGGUUCGAUUCCCCCUACCC